Schistosoma curassoni is the source of this 48-nucleotide non-coding RNA. NCBI's taxonomy places the organism in Eukaryota, Metazoa, Platyhelminthes, Trematoda, Strigeidida, Schistosomatidae. The record is from Rfam.
ACCCAACUGACGGGUCGCAAAUAAGACGAAACGCGCGUCAAACUGGAU